This 1087-nucleotide non-coding RNA is filed under the name Paracellulophaga tyrosinoxydans. RNAcentral's name for it is "Cellulophaga tyrosinoxydans Bacterial large subunit ribosomal RNA". It matches the Rfam family "Bacterial large subunit ribosomal RNA", at positions 172 to 1259 of the family's 2925-position model. The record is from Rfam by way of RNAcentral. Lineage: Bacteria; Pseudomonadati; Bacteroidota; Flavobacteriia; Flavobacteriales; Flavobacteriaceae.
AAGAGAAGCAAACCCGGUGAACUGAAACAUCUAAGUAGCCGGAGGAGGAGAAAACAAAAGUGAUUCCGUUAGUAGUGGCGAGCGAACGCGGAUUAGCCCAAACCAAUACUGUUUCGGCAGUAUUGGGGUUGUAGGACCACGACAUUUGAUGCGUAAUGAAUUGGAAUCCUUUGGAAAGAGGAGCCGUAGACGGUGAUAGCCCGGUACAAGUAAAGAACGUUAUUGAUAGUGGUAUCCUGAGUAGUGCGGGGCACGUGAAACCUUGUAUGAAUUUGCCGGGACCAUCCGGUAAGGCUAAAUACUCCUGAGAGACCGAUAGUGAACCAGUACCGUGAGGGAAAGGUGAAAAGAACCGUGAAUAACGGAGUGAAAAAGAUCCUGAAACCAUACGCUUACAAGCGGUCGGAGCCCUUUGGGGUGACGGCGUGCCUUUUGCAUAAUGAGCCUACGAGUUACUUUUACUAGCAAGGUUAAGAUUUUAAGGAUCGGAGCCGUAGCGAAAGCGAGUCUGAAUAGGGCGCCAUAGUUAGUAGUAGUAGACGCGAAACCGUGUGAUCUACCCAUGGGCAGGUUGAAGCUUUGUUAACCCAAAGUGGAGGACCGAACCCGUUGACGUUGAAAAGUCUUGGGAUGACCUGUGGGUAGGGGUGAAAGGCCAAUCAAACUCGGAAAUAGCUCGUACUCCCCGAAAUGCAUUUAGGUGCAGCGUUGUGAUAGUUUUAUAGAGGUAGAGCUACUGAUUGGAUGCGGGGGCUUCACCGCCUACCAAUUCCUGACAAACUCCGAAUGCUAUAAAAUGUUUCACAGCAGUGAGGGCAUGGGUGCUAAGGUCCAUGUCCGAGAGGGAAAGAACCCGGACCAUCAGCUAAGGUCCCCAAGUGUAUACUAAGUUGAUAUAACGCGGUGGAAUUGCAUUGACAGCCAGGAUGUUGGCUUGGAAGCAGCCAUUCAUUUAAAGAGUGCGUAACAGCUCACUGGUCGAGCGAUUCCGCAUGGAUAAUAAUCGGGCAUAAGUAUACCACCGAAGCUAUGGCUUCUGUACUCGGUACAGAGGGGUAGGGGAGCAUUCUAUAUGUGUUGAAGGUGA